GGCCCGUUGGUCAAGCGGUUAAGACACCGCCCUUUCACGGCGGUAACAUGGGUUCAAAUCCCGUACGGGUCA
This 72-nucleotide transfer RNA is filed under the name Candidatus Ligilactobacillus excrementavium. RNAcentral's name for it is "tRNA-Glu". It matches the Rfam family "tRNA". From Rfam's summary of the family: Transfer RNA (tRNA) molecules are approximately 80 nucleotides in length. Their secondary structure includes four short double-helical elements and three loops (D, anti-codon, and T loops). Further hydrogen bonds mediate the characteristic L-shaped molecular structure. tRNAs have two regions of fundamental functional importance: the anti-codon, which is responsible for specific mRNA codon recognition, and the 3' end, to which the tRNAs corresponding amino acid is attached (by aminoacyl-tRNA synthetases). tRNAs cope with the degeneracy of the genetic code in two manners: having more than one tRNA (with a specific anti-codon) for a particular amino acid; and 'wobble' base-pairing, i.e. permitting non-standard base-pairing at the 3rd anti-codon position. Lineage: Bacteria; Bacillati; Bacillota; Bacilli; Lactobacillales; Lactobacillaceae. The record is from RNAcentral.